AUUAUCCCGAGCCUGGGAGAUGUUGACACCCCCCCCCCUUUCCCUGGGCCAGUGUCAGCCCCAGGCACUGUGCUGAGGUUGUGUAGAAAGGGGCAGGCUCCCCCUGGAGAUCCCCACCCAGGGAUCCCCGGGCAACACUCCUCCAAGGACUUUUCUUCUCUAGGAACUCGCUUCUGUCAGCCUCUCUUGUCUGUCCACUGGCUCCUAAGCCUUCCAUCUGCAAGUUCAGUUUCUAAGUCAACAGGACCCCCAGACAGGCCUCCGGUCCCCUUGGGGGAACUGUCAGGAUCUGUGUGUGUGUGUGUUGCAAGCAAGCUCAUUGCAUGGACCUGGCACAGGCGGGAUCCAGCUCCCUUCCAGGGCCACGUGACCCUGGCAGCAUUACUCACUUGGGUGCCCUCCAGCAGGGGCAGCUGGGGACACCUCCCUAGAGUGACUACAGCGUUUAUCACGGGGAUGACUCAGCCCGCCCGAGCCUCUCUCUCCCUGAAAAGGGAAUCUGAGGCCAGGGCCGGGGUGAGAGUGUCCAUUAGACCAUCUAUAGCCUCGGGAGCCCGGAAACUCCCCUCACCUGGGAAGCACGCAGGACGGACGGACGGGAUGAGUAAAGCUCAGGCAUCCUGGGCCCAGCUGAGAUUUCCCGCUUCUUGUCAAAGGGAAGAAGUGGAACUCUUAGGGAAAAUAUCCCUGCUGUCGGGUGAGCGCCAGGGGCUGUAAUUUUCUACGAGUACCGAUGAUAAGAAGUCAUGUGCCCUUGGAUCCUGUUUGCACAAUACUUGGAAUGUUUACAGUGUAUGUAAAUCAGGACCACUCAUCAGACCUGGAACUGAAAGAAAACAGAGGAAGCUGCUCCCGGGAGAAGCCGAUUCUUGCAACUGGUCCCUGACUUUGACCCUGCAGUUCCUGAUGGCCAAGGCCAGAUGGGGCUCCGUGUUUUGUUACCAGGACGGUAUGUUUUAAAGCUGCAGACCAAGAAUUCUCAAAACCCACUUGUCCAAAAGCCUAAUGGUUGGGGCCAAAGCCCAACAGAAUAUCUUCUCUGUGUAGGAUACUUGGACUUCACCAUGAAUAUGCCCGACGUCUUAAAAUCGGUAAUAGAAGAAGCAAAUUGUUACCUAUUUUUAAUUAGGCAUGAGUUCUAUGGCUUCCUGAGUGUGGACCAUUCUAUAUUCAGUUGACCACACAAAUAGCUGGUUUCAAUAUACAAAGAAUGAAUAAACCUAGAAGGGGGGCCA
Molecule: long non-coding RNA, 1235 nt
Filed under: Sus scrofa (pig)
Lineage: Eukaryota; Metazoa; Chordata; Mammalia; Artiodactyla; Suidae
Description: lncRNA (ENSSSCG00025013915.1)
Source: RNAcentral